RNAcentral lists this microRNA precursor (102 nucleotides) under Marmota monax (woodchuck). The record is from RNAcentral. Lineage: Eukaryota; Metazoa; Chordata; Mammalia; Rodentia; Sciuridae.
AGUGAAAUUGUUGGGUCAUUUGGUAACUCUAUAUUUAGCUUUCUGAUGAACUGCCAGACUGUUUUACAAAGUGGCUGUGCUUUUUAUAAUCUCACCAGCAAU